Non-coding RNA from Zonotrichia albicollis (white-throated sparrow), 222 nucleotides. Lineage: Eukaryota; Metazoa; Chordata; Aves; Passeriformes; Passerellidae. The record is from RefSeq and is a predicted model, not a curated record.
AGAAAUGAACUGGAGUCUUUGAAGGAGAAAAUGGCAAAGACAGGUGAAGAGAUGAAAAGUACACUGGAUGAAAGAGAAGAAAAUAUGAAUAAUUUAAAGAAGCAGGUGGAAAAUAAAACCAAAUGCAUUGAAGAGUUGCAGCAGGAGAAUAAGGUGCUGAAAAAGAAAAUUACUGCAGAAAGCAAGAAAAGCAAUACUUAUGAAGGGAAGGUAGGUUUAAAU